Molecule: ribosomal RNA, 282 nt
Filed under: Triticum aestivum (bread wheat)
Lineage: Eukaryota; Viridiplantae; Streptophyta; Magnoliopsida; Poales; Poaceae
Description: partial small subunit ribosomal RNA
Source: RNAcentral
AUGUCAACCGACAACCGUAUCUGGAAACAACGAUUAGUGGAUAUUGGUACUAUCACUGCACAUCAAGCAAAUGAUUGGGGAUUCAGUGGUGUAAUGUUAAGAGUGAAGUGGUGGGCCUACCCAUCCCAACCUGGGGUAUACUGGGAUUCGCGAAGAGCAGCACCUUAUGAUGUUCAUGUCCAAUCGAAUCUUGACGUACCAGUAGGUACUAGAGGAGAUCGCUAUGAUCCUUACUGUAUCCGUAUUGAAGAGAUGCGAAAAAGUGUUCGGAUCAUUGUGUAA